RNAcentral lists this ribosomal RNA (504 nucleotides) under uncultured bacterium. RNAcentral describes it as "bacterial SSU rRNA". It matches the Rfam family "Bacterial small subunit ribosomal RNA", at positions 8 to 526 of the family's 1533-position model. The record is from RNAcentral.
AGAGUUUGAUCAUGGCUCAGAAUGAACGUUGGCGGCGUGGAUUAGGCAUGCAAGUCGAGCGAGAACCCCGCAAGGGGGGAAAGCGGCGAAAGGGACAGUAAUACGUAGAUUAUCUGCCCUCGGGUCCGGGAUAGCUGCGGGAAACUGCAGGUAAUACCGGAUAACAUCUGCGGAUCAAAGGUGUGAUUCCGCCCGAGGAUGAGUCUGCGUCCUAUUAGCUUGUUGGUAGGGUAACGGCCUACCAAGGCAAUGAUGGGUAGCGGGUGUGAGAGCACGACCCGCGUCACUGGGACUGAGACACUGCCCAGACACCUACGGGUGGCUGCAGUCGAGGAUCUUCGGCAAUGGGCGCAAGCCUGACCGAGCGACGCCGCGUGCGGGAUGAAGGCUUUCGGGUUGUAAACCGCUGUCAGAGGGGAUGAAAUGUAGGUGGGUUCUCCCAUCUAUUUGACAUAGCCUCAGAGGAAGUACGGGCUAAGUUCGUGCCAGCAGCCGCGGUAAUAC